GGACAGUUGGAAUGCAAAAAGGAGAGGAAUCUCUCUAUAUAAAGGGAUAGUGGACAGGGGUCUGCAAAGAGAGGGGUUGUGAGGGAGGAAAGAGCCCCUUCAGGAAAAGGAGGCUGCCGUUGUGUGAAUUAGAUGAGGAAACAAGAUGAACAACAUCUGUUAAAUCAGGAAGCGGGAGAGAUUGGGAGGAAGGGGAAGAGCGAGUGUAGGAGGGAGAAGAGGGAAAGAAGGGAGGGCCCAAGCCUGUCAGCGGCCUGAGGGGAACAAGUGGCCAUGGUGGUUAGGAGGGGAAGAACAGGAGCAGGGCUCGAGUGAGGAGGUCUCUGGGUAUAGAGGGCUGCAACUUGGCCAACAGGCACCAGCAACACUGCAGCUGCGACCAAGAGGCAUGAGGGGGAUGGAAGCAACUGGAUGGAGGAGGAGGAGCAGGAGUGCAGCUCAGGGCCAGAGAUUCUUCAAAACCCCAAGCAAAAGCUUUCCAAAUCCUGCUAGAUGGAAUCCUCCAACAAGAACUGCUGAGGGGCAUGAAUUGCCGGUUGCCAUGGAGAAAUCAUAUCAUCAUUAGCGGAGACAGCGUGAUCUGGGGUUUGCUAAGAUGUGAAAAACUUGGGAGUUAUGCUGCGUUAUUCAACAGAAUCAAUAUGAAUAAAAGAAAUCACCUCUG
Molecule: long non-coding RNA, 664 nt
Organism: Hemicordylus capensis (graceful crag lizard)
Lineage: Eukaryota; Metazoa; Chordata; Lepidosauria; Squamata; Cordylidae
Exons: 3
Source: RefSeq, a predicted model, not a curated record